UACGAAGGGGGGCUAGCGUUGCUCGGAAUUACUGGGCGUAAAGCGCACGUAGGCGGCUUCUUAAGUCGGUGGUGAAAUCCUGGAGCUCAACUCCAGAACUGCCUUCGAUACUGGGAGCUCGAGUCCGGGGAGAGGUGAGUGGAACUGCGAGUGUAGAGGUGAAAUUCGUAGAUAUUCGCAAGAACACCAGUGGCGAAGGCGGUUCACUGGCCCGGUACUGACGCUGAGG
RNAcentral lists this ribosomal RNA (229 nucleotides) under uncultured bacterium. Its description in RNAcentral is "partial 16S ribosomal RNA". It matches the Rfam family "Bacterial small subunit ribosomal RNA", at positions 524 to 751 of the family's 1533-position model. The record is from RNAcentral.